RNAcentral lists this ribosomal RNA (431 nucleotides) under uncultured bacterium. RNAcentral describes it as "bacterial SSU rRNA". It matches the Rfam family "Bacterial small subunit ribosomal RNA", at positions 354 to 777 of the family's 1533-position model. The record is from RNAcentral.
GUGGGGAAUCUUCCGCAAUGGACGAAAGUCUGACGGAGCAACGCCGCGUGAGUGAUGACGGCCUUCGGGUUGUAAAGCUCUGUUAAUCGGGACGAAUGGCUACCAUGCGAAUAGUGUGGAAGUUUGACGGUACCGGAAUAGAAAGCCACGGCUAACUACGUGCCAGCAGCCGCGGUAAUACGUAGGUGGCAAGCGUUGUCCGGAAUUAUUGGGCGUAAAGCGCGCGCAGGCGGAUCUGCCAGUCUGUCUUAAAAGUUCGGGGCUCAACCCCGUGAUGGGAUGGAAACUACAGAUCUAGAGUAUCGGAGGGGAAAGUGGAAUUCCUAGUGUAGCGGUGAAAUGCGUAGAUAUUAGGAGGAACACCAGUGGCGAAGGCGACUUUCUGGACGAUCACUGACGCUGAGGCGCGAAAGCCAGGGGAGCGAACGGGA